This 112-nucleotide non-coding RNA is filed under the name Brevibacillus borstelensis. RNAcentral describes it as "TPP sequence". It matches the Rfam family "TPP riboswitch aptamer (THI element)". Rfam says of the family: Vitamin B(1) in its active form thiamin pyrophosphate (TPP) is an essential coenzyme that is synthesised by coupling of pyrimidine and thiazole moieties in bacteria. The previously detected thiamin-regulatory element, thi box was extended, resulting in a new, highly conserved RNA secondary structure, the THI element, which is widely distributed in eubacteria and also occurs in some archaea. Analysis of operon structures identified a large number of new candidate thiamin-regulated genes, mostly transporters, in various prokaryotic organisms. The record is from RNAcentral. RNAcentral also lists the same sequence under 1 other name. Lineage: Bacteria; Bacillati; Bacillota; Bacilli; Caryophanales; Paenibacillaceae.
CAAUGAUGCACGGGAGCUUGGGGAUGACCAGGCUGAGAGGACGGCUACUCUGUCGUCGACCGUUGAACCUGAACUGGGUAAUGCCAGCGGAGGAAUGUUUAUAUAGACCGGA